This 468-nucleotide ribosomal RNA is filed under the name uncultured bacterium. RNAcentral's name for it is "partial 16S ribosomal RNA". It matches the Rfam family "Bacterial small subunit ribosomal RNA", at positions 28 to 507 of the family's 1533-position model. The record is from RNAcentral.
GACGAACGCUGGCGGCGUGCUUAACACAUGCAAGUCGAACGGUUAGGCCCCGCUCGUGUGGGUUUCUCGAGUGGCAAGCGGGAGUGUAACACGUGCGUAACCUGCCCUUGAUUUUGGUAUCACUUCAGGAACCUGGGGCUAAUCGCAUAUAUCAGCUCCUCCUGCAUGGUGGCUGUUGGAAACUUUCGGCGGGUGGGGAUGGACUCGCGGCUUAUCAGCUUGUUGGUGGGGUAGGGGCUUACCAAGGCAUUGACGGGUAGCCGGCUUGAGAGGGUGACCGGCCACAUUGGGACUGAGAUACGGCCCAGACUCCUACGGGAGGCAGCAGUGGGGAAUAUUGCACAAUGGGCGGAAGCCUGAUGCAGCAACGCCGCGUGCGGGAUGACGGCCUUCGGGUUGUAAACCGCUUUCGCCAGUGACGAAGCGUGAGUGACGGUAAUGGGUAAAGAAGCACCGGCUAACUACGUG